RNAcentral lists this ribosomal RNA (512 nucleotides) under uncultured bacterium. RNAcentral describes it as "partial 16S ribosomal RNA". It matches the Rfam family "Bacterial small subunit ribosomal RNA", at positions 28 to 523 of the family's 1533-position model. The record is from RNAcentral.
GAUGAACGCUGGCGGCGUGCCUAAUACAUGCAAGUCGAGCGAAUGAUGAGGAGCUUGCUCCUCUGAUUUAGCGGCGGACGGGUGAGUAACACGUGGGUAACCUGCCUGUAAGAUGGGGAUAACUCCGGGAAACCGGGGCUAAUACCGAAUAAUAAAAGAGGAAGCAUUUCUUCUUUUUGAAAGUUGGUUUCGGCUAACACUUACAGAUGGGCCCGCGGCGCAUUAGCUAGUUGGUGAGGUAACGGCUCACCAAGGCGACGAUGCGUAGCCGACCUGGGAGGGUGAUCGGCCACACUGGGACUGAGACACGGCCCGGACUCCUACGGGAGGCAGCAGUAGGGAAUCUUCGGCAAUGGGCGAAAGCCUGACCGAGCAACGCCGCGUGAGCGAGGAAGGCCUUCGGGUCGUAAAGCUCUGUUGUCAGGGAAGAACAAGUACGAGAGUAACUGCUCGUACCUUGACGGUACCUGACCAGAAAGCCACGGCUAACUACGUGCCAGCAGCCGCGGUAA